GCCGAAGUGGCGGAAUUGGUAGACGCGCUCGACUCAAAAUCGAGUGGAUAAAACCGUGCGGGUUCGAGUCCCGCCUUCGGCACCA
Molecule: transfer RNA, 85 nt
Filed under: Trueperaceae bacterium
Lineage: Bacteria; Thermotogati; Deinococcota; Deinococci; Trueperales; Trueperaceae
Description: tRNA-Leu
Rfam family: tRNA
About the family: Transfer RNA (tRNA) molecules are approximately 80 nucleotides in length.
Source: RNAcentral